RNAcentral lists this ribosomal RNA (409 nucleotides) under bacterium. RNAcentral's name for it is "partial 16S ribosomal RNA". It matches the Rfam family "Bacterial small subunit ribosomal RNA", at positions 355 to 776 of the family's 1533-position model. The record is from RNAcentral.
UGGGGAAUAUUGCACAAUGGGCGAAAGCCUGAUGCAGCGACGCCGCGUGAGGGAUGACGGCCUUCGGGUUGUAAACCUCUUUCAGUAGGGACGAAGCGCAAGUGACGGUACCUGCAGAAGAAGCACCGGCUAACUACGUGCCAGCAGCCGCGGUAAUACGUAGGGUGCGAGCGUUGUCCGGAAUUACUGGGCGUAAAGAGCUCGUAGGCGGUUUGUCACGUCGUCUGUGAAAUCCUAGGGCUUAACCCUGGACGUGCAGGCGAUACGGGCUGACUUGAGUACUACAGGGGGGACUGGAAUUUCUGGUGUAGCGGUGGAAUGCACAGAUAUCAGGAAGAACACCGAUGGCGAAGGCAGGUCUCUGGGUAGUAACUGACGCUGAGGAGCGAAAGCAUGGGUAGCGAACAGG